Molecule: ribosomal RNA, 403 nt
Filed under: Fusobacteriota bacterium
Lineage: Bacteria; Fusobacteriati; Fusobacteriota
Description: Fusobacteria bacterium partial 16S ribosomal RNA
Rfam family: Bacterial small subunit ribosomal RNA
Source: RNAcentral
UGGGGAAUAUUGCACAAUGGAGGGAACUCUGAUGCAGCGACGCCGCGUGAACGAAGAAGGCUUUCGAGUCGUAAAGUUCUUUUAUAUGGGAAGAUAAUGACGGUACCAUAAGAAAAAGCCCCGGCUAACUACGUGCCAGCAGCCGCGGUAAUACGUAGGGGGCUAGCGUUGUCCGGAAUCACUGGGCGUAAAGGGUUCGCAGGCGGAAAUGCAAGUCAGGUGUAAAAGGCAGUAGCUUAACUACUGUAAGCAUUUGAAACUGCAUAUCUUGAGAAGAGUAGAGGUAAGUGGAAUUUUUAGUGUAGCGGGGAAAUGCGUAGAUAUUAAAAAAAAUACCGGUGGCGAAGGCGACUUACUGGGCUCAUUCUGACGCUGAGGAACGAAAGCGUGGGUAGCAAACAGG